This 73-nucleotide transfer RNA is filed under the name Microscilla marina ATCC 23134. It matches the Rfam family "tRNA". Rfam says of the family: Transfer RNA (tRNA) molecules are approximately 80 nucleotides in length. Lineage: Bacteria; Pseudomonadati; Bacteroidota; Cytophagia; Cytophagales; Microscillaceae. The record is from Rfam by way of RNAcentral.
AGGGCGGAGGUGUUACCGGAAACAUGUUAGACUGUCACUCUAAAGAUUGUGGGUUCGAAUCCCGCUCGCCCUG